Molecule: ribosomal RNA, 253 nt
Filed under: uncultured bacterium
Lineage: Bacteria
Description: partial 16S ribosomal RNA
Rfam family: Bacterial small subunit ribosomal RNA
Source: RNAcentral
UACGUAGGGUGCAAGCGUUACUCGGAAUUACUGGGCGUAAAGCGUGCGCAGGCGGUUAUGCGAGACAGAUGUGAAAUCCCCGGGCUCAACCUGGGAACUGCAUUUGUGACUGCAUAGCUAGAGUGCGGCAGAGGGAGAUGGAAUUCCGCGUGUAGCAGUGAAAUGCGUAGAUAUGCGGAGGAACACCGAUGGCGAAGGCAAUCUCCUGGGCCUGCACUGACGCUCAUGCACGAAAGCGUGGGGAGCAAACAGG